RNAcentral lists this ribosomal RNA (253 nucleotides) under uncultured bacterium. RNAcentral describes it as "partial 16S ribosomal RNA". It matches the Rfam family "Bacterial small subunit ribosomal RNA", at positions 524 to 776 of the family's 1533-position model. The record is from RNAcentral.
UACGUAGGGGGCUAGCGUUGUCCGGAUUUAUUGGGCGUAAAGAGCUUGUAGGCGGUUUGUCGCGUCUGCUGUGAAAUUUCGGGGCUCAACCCCGAACUUGCAGUGGGUACGGGCAGACUAGAGUGUGGUAGGGGAGACUGGAAUUCCUGGUGUAGCGGUGAAAUGCGCAGAUAUCAGGAGGAACACCGAUGGCGAAGGCAGGUCUCUGGGCCACUACUGACGCUGAGAAGCGAAAGCAUGGGGAGCGAACAGG